RNAcentral lists this ribosomal RNA (253 nucleotides) under uncultured bacterium. RNAcentral describes it as "partial 16S ribosomal RNA". It matches the Rfam family "Bacterial small subunit ribosomal RNA", at positions 524 to 776 of the family's 1533-position model. The record is from RNAcentral.
UACGAAGGGGGCUAGCGUUGUUCGGAUUUACUGGGCGUAAAGCGCGCGUAGGCGGGUCUGUAAGUCGGGUGUGAAAUCCUGGAGCUCAACUCCAGAACGGCCUUCGAUACUGGCGAUCUCGAGUCCGGAAGAGGUGAGUGGAACUCCUAGUGUAGAGGUGGAAUUCGUAGAUAUUAGGAAGAACACCAGUGGCGAAGGCGGCUCACUGGUCCGGUACUGACGCUGAGGUGCGAAAGCGUGGGGAGCAAACAGG